CACCGGCGGAUGCGACCGUUAUCCGGAUUUAUUGGGCUUAACGGGCGCGUAGGCGGUUGGGCAAGCGUCGGGUAAAUGUCCUCGGACCAACAGUGGCAGUGCCUUCGGCACUGCCCGACUGGAAUCCUCCUGCCGUGGGAGGUACUCGUGGGGUAGCGGUCAAAUGCAUAGAGAUCCCUCGGAACACCGAUUGCGAAGGCAUCUCACGAAGGGGCUAUUGACGCUGAGGCACGAAAGCGUGGGGAUCAAACAGGAUUAGAGACCCUGGUAGUCCACGCAGUAAACGAUGAUGACUAACCGUCGGUCAAGACUGAUCGGUGGCCAAGCGAAAGCGAUAAGUCAGCCACCUGGGGAGUACGACCGCAAGGUUGAAACUCAAAGGAAUUGACGGGG
This 393-nucleotide ribosomal RNA is filed under the name uncultured bacterium. RNAcentral's name for it is "partial 16S ribosomal RNA". It matches the Rfam family "Bacterial small subunit ribosomal RNA", at positions 523 to 918 of the family's 1533-position model. The record is from RNAcentral.